GUUGCCCUCCACUUUUACUAUACUAGUUCCAUCAAGCGGCAGUGAGGUUAUAUUUGAUUCUGUAAACGGUCAACAAAAGAGAGCCGAACAUAAAGCAGGUGAUAAGUUGAUCCACAGUGGACGUGUUAUUGCAGAGUAUGAUGGCUCAAUGUGGCACAAAUAUAAUCAGCAAUGAUGACACAAACUUCCUCGUCCAACGGAAUUAAGAGAAAAACAAGGAAAAAUACGUGACACCAACUGGAAUAAUGCUACUUUAGCCUCUCCCAAAAUAUUGAAAUAAUGACGAUCAAAUGCACACGCAAAAUAUUAUGUACCAUUCUAACUUUUGAGGGAAAUAAAAAACUAAGUCACAAAUAUAUAA
Long non-coding RNA from Belonocnema kinseyi, 361 nucleotides. RefSeq lists it as uncharacterized. The transcript has 3 exons. NCBI's taxonomy places the organism in Eukaryota, Metazoa, Arthropoda, Insecta, Hymenoptera, Cynipidae. The record is from RefSeq and is a predicted model, not a curated record.